Molecule: long non-coding RNA, 223 nt
Filed under: Elaeis guineensis (African oil palm)
Lineage: Eukaryota; Viridiplantae; Streptophyta; Magnoliopsida; Arecales; Arecaceae
Description: long non-coding RNA (EGUI_LNC071325)
Source: RNAcentral
UAGGAGUUAUUGUAUCAAUGUAUUUCAAUUUAGUAAAACUUAGACUCGGAUAAUUCAUGUGAUAGAUUUGAAAGAUUGAAAUACAAUGUGGAUGACUUAUUUAAGAUUGAUAGUUAAAUCUUAGAUCAUCCUUGAGUAUUAGGGUCAAAGGGAUGAAUUAUACGAUAAUCAUAUGUUAGUAGAUUCUUGAAUGUUGUUUCACCAUCAUUCGAUCUAUUCGGAC